CAGGAGAAGCAAAUUCUGGAGGCUGGAUGC
This 30-nucleotide non-coding RNA is filed under the name Homo sapiens (human). Lineage: Eukaryota; Metazoa; Chordata; Mammalia; Primates; Hominidae. The record is from RNAcentral.